This 244-nucleotide ribosomal RNA is filed under the name uncultured bacterium. RNAcentral's name for it is "partial small subunit ribosomal RNA". It matches the Rfam family "Bacterial small subunit ribosomal RNA", at positions 26 to 285 of the family's 1533-position model. The record is from RNAcentral.
AGAAUCAACGCUGGCGGCGUGCCUAACACAUGCAAGUCGAACGAGAAAGUGGAGCAAUCCAUGAGUAAAGUGGCGCACGGGUGAGUAACACGUGACUAACCUACCCUUGAGUGGGGGAUAACUGAGGGAAACCUUAGCUAAUACCGCAUAAUACCCACGGGUCAAAGGAGCAAUUCGCUCGAGGAGGGGGUCGCGGCCGAUUAGUUAGUUGGCGGGGUAAUGGCCCACAAGACGAUGAUCGGUA